GGCCCGCCCAUCCCGUCUGUGUACGUUGGAGAAGCGCUUCUGGCAGAGGUGAGCAGCAGCAAUUGUGCUCCAAUGCACAUUUGAAAACAAGGAGUUUUCUCAUCGGUGACAAUGGCUUGAAGCCUUGGCAUGAGCUCUUCAAUCAUCCAGAAGCUUGAAAAACAAUACAAGUUAGGAGGCCAUCCUUCCGUAUUUGCGCUUGCCUUUCAAAAGCACUAUUUGAAGAUGCUCAAUGUGCCUCUUGGGUUUCAUUGCCAGUGGUAAAUGUAAAUGUGGCGGCUAAGGUGUCUAUGCGUUUGGAAAUGAUGACACCAUUCAUUGUUCAGCUAUGAAGCCCAAUUUGGAGAAGGGCUACUAAAAGUAAGAGAGUGAGUGGCACGUCUCGUCCCCAGUUUUGCUGUGUCUAGGUUGCCACGGUUUGUGUUGGCGUCGCCCCUCCCCUCCCCUCGCCCCUCCCCUCGCCUCCCCUCCCGUGUCACCUCAAUCAAUGUAACCGCGGUCACCUGCCUCGUGUUUCGUGUUUUGUAUUCAAGUCCUGUCUGCGUGUCACUCCACUCCCCGUCGGAUCAUUGUGUGUUGUCGUCGUUAUGUCUUGAUGUGUCCAUGUCCUGUUGUUUUCUUGUCUCACGUUCCGGUCAGUCAGUCUCGUUAUUGGUUUGUUAAGUCAUGUCAGUUUGCCGAGUCUGUCUGUCUCUGGUCCAAGUUGCAUUUGGUCGCCGUGCUCCAUCCGAUCCGUGACAGAGAGUAAAAGUCAGUGAGUAACACAAUCCAUUUUUGUUCUCAAAUCCCAUCCAGAUGUUGUCGAGCAGGAGAGCGAGCGAGCGAGCCGGAGCGGAAAAUGGAAAGAACGGAGAAGACGAGCGAUAGAUAGUAACUAAGGAAUUAAAGGGAACAUUCCAACGCUGCAGCUACAGUACGUGGGAGGAAAGGUCAAACUGCAAACAUUGGGACUUUGCCUGAUGAAUUUAGUGGGGAAGAAACAAGAUACAUGCAGACUAAUCAUAUGAUCCCUCAUUAAUUUCCAGCAACAUUUCUUUCCAUUUAUUUACAGUCCAUUGAAUGUGCCAUAUACAAAUAUUUCUGUCUGGUUAAGUGCUGGUCUACCUACGCUAAAUCUAGAUUGUAUUCAGCACAUUAGGAUUGGGACAAACGUGGAUCUCGGUCAAGACUUUGACGUUUUGAUGAUCAUGUAAGCAUGAUCUAUGAUGGGAGAUAACAGUUCACAUCAAAAUCUUCUUCUCUUAUGUAACAAUCAUGACGUCCUUUGUUUUUUGUAUUUUAUCAAAUAAAAACAA
Syngnathus acus (greater pipefish) is the source of this 1295-nucleotide long non-coding RNA. RefSeq lists it as uncharacterized. The record is from RefSeq and is a predicted model, not a curated record. The transcript has 2 exons. NCBI's taxonomy places the organism in Eukaryota, Metazoa, Chordata, Actinopteri, Syngnathiformes, Syngnathidae.